Molecule: small nuclear RNA, 107 nt
Organism: Tupaia belangeri (northern tree shrew)
Lineage: Eukaryota; Metazoa; Chordata; Mammalia; Scandentia; Tupaiidae
Source: Ensembl
GUGCUCGCUUCAGCAGCACAUAUACUAAAAUUGGAACGAUACAGAGCAGAUAAGCAUGGCCCCUGCACAAGGAUGAUGCGCAAAUUCCUGAAGCGUUCCAUAUUUUC